CUGUAUGUAGCGAGGUUAAGGCGUAGAGCGCCGGAGCCGCAGCGAGAGCGAGUCUCAAAUGGGCGAAGAGUUGCAUGCAGUAGACCCGAAACCGGGUGACCUAUCCAUGGACAGGAUGAAGCGACGGUAAGACGUCGUGGAGGUCCGAACCACACGUACGUAAAAAGUGCGGGGAUGAGCUGUGGAUAGCGGAGAAAUUCCAAUCGAACUCGGAGAUAGCUGGUUCUCCCCGAAAUAGCUUUAGGGCUAGCCUCGAUUUAGAUUAAUGGGGGUAGAGCACUGAAUGGGCUAGGGGGCCACAAAGCUUACUGAACCCUAUCAAACUACGAAUACCAUAUAAUUGAUGAUCGGGAGUCAGACAGUGAGAGAUAAGUUCCAUUGUCGAAAGGGAAACAGCCCAGAUCCACGACUAAGGUCCCAAAAUACACGUUAAGUGGAAAAGGAUGUGCAGUUGCACAGACAACCAGGAUGUUGGCUUAGAAGCAGCCACUCAUUCAAAGAGUGCGUAAUAGCUCACUGGUCGAGUGAAUGUGCGCCGAAAAUAUACCGGGGCUAAACGUGAUACCGAAGUCUGGGGAUCAAGAAAUUGAUCGGUAGGGGAGCAACGCAUACGGACAGAAGCAGAAGCGGGAGCGACUGUGGACUGUAUGGGAGAGAGAAUGCCGGCAUGAGUAGCGAGAGCAAAGUGAGAAUCUUUGCCGUCGAAAGCCUAAGGUUUCCUGAGGAAGGCUCGUCCACUCAGGGUAAGUCGGGACCUAAGCCGAGGACAAGAGUCGUAGGCGAUGGACAACAGGUUGAUAUUCCUGUACCGUACUUAAGCGCAAGACUGAAGCAGUGACACAGAAGGAUAGACAGACCGGGGGGAUGGUAGACUCCGGCCAAGCAGUGAGGCUGGUGCGUAGUGAAGUACGCGCACUAAGGCGAGGCUGUGAUGGGGACUGAAAACAAGUAAGGAAGCUGUUGAAUUCACACUGGCGAGAAAAGCUGCUAGGGAGCGAGAGUAUGCCCGUACCGCAAACCGACACAGGUAGGCGAGGAGAGAAUCCUAAGACGAGCGGGAGAACCCUUGUUAAGGAACUCGGCAAAAUGACUCCGUAACUUAGGGAGAAGGAGUGCCUCGAGAGAGGCCGCAGAGAAUAGGCCCAAGCGACUGUUUACCAAAAACACAGGUCUGUGCGAAGUAGAGAUACGACGUAUACGGGCUGACGCCUGCCCAGUGCCGGAAGGUUAAGGGGAAGUGUAAGGGCAACCGAAGCACGGAACUUAAGCCCCGGUGAAUGGCGGCCGUAACUAUAACGGUCCUAAGGUAGCGAAAUUCCUUGUCGGGUAAGUUCCGACCCGCACGAAUGGAGUAACGACUUGUGCACUGUCUCAACAAGGGACCCGGCGAAAUUGUAGUAUGUGUGAAGAUGCACAUUACCCGCGAUAGGACGGAAAGACCCCGUAGAGCUUUACUGUAGUUUAACAUUGGAUUUUGAUAACACAUGUACAGGAUAGGUGGGAGGCAGAGAGGCCGUCACGCCAGUGGCGGAGGAGCCGACGUUGGGAUACCACUCUUGUGUUAUUGGAGUUCUAACGAGAUGCCGUAAGCCGGGUUUCGGACAGUGUUAGAUGGGCAGUUUGACUGGGGCG
RNAcentral lists this ribosomal RNA (1632 nucleotides) under wastewater metagenome. RNAcentral describes it as "bacterial LSU rRNA". It matches the Rfam family "Bacterial large subunit ribosomal RNA", at positions 631 to 2281 of the family's 2925-position model. The record is from RNAcentral.